This 278-nucleotide ribosomal RNA is filed under the name Fusobacterium mortiferum. Its description in RNAcentral is "partial 16S ribosomal RNA". It matches the Rfam family "Bacterial small subunit ribosomal RNA", at positions 498 to 776 of the family's 1533-position model. Lineage: Bacteria; Fusobacteriati; Fusobacteriota; Fusobacteriia; Fusobacteriales; Fusobacteriaceae. The record is from RNAcentral.
UAUGGUUGUGCCAGCAGCCGCGGUAAUACGUAUGUCGCAAGCGUUAUCCGGAUUUAUUGGGCGUAAAGCGCGUCUAGGCGGUUUGGUAAGUCUGAUGUGAAAAUGCGGGGCUCAACUCCGUAUUGCGUUGGAAACUGCCAAACUAGAGUACUGGAGAGGUGGGCGGAACUACAAGUGUAGAGGUGAAAUUCGUAGAUAUUUGUAGGAAUGCCGAUGGGGAAGCCAGCCCACUGGACAGAUACUGACGCUAAAGCGCGAAAGCGUGGGUAGCAAACAGG